UACGUAGGGAGCUAGCGUUGUUCGGAUAUACUGGGCGUAAAGCGCACGUAGGCGGCGCCGUAAGUCAGGGGUGAAAUCCCGGAGCUCAACUCCGGAACUGCCCUUGAAACUGCAGUGCUAGAAUCUUGGAGAGGCGAGUGGAAUUCCGAGUGUAGAGGUGAAAUUCGUAGAUAUUCGGAAGAACACCAGUGGCGAAGGCGACUCGCUGGACAAGUAUUGACGCUGAGGUGCGAAAGCGUGGGGAGCAAACAGG
Molecule: ribosomal RNA, 253 nt
Filed under: uncultured bacterium
Lineage: Bacteria
Description: partial 16S ribosomal RNA
Rfam family: Bacterial small subunit ribosomal RNA
Source: RNAcentral